Molecule: ribosomal RNA, 275 nt
Filed under: uncultured bacterium
Lineage: Bacteria
Description: partial 16S ribosomal RNA
Rfam family: Bacterial small subunit ribosomal RNA
Source: RNAcentral
GCGUGUGUGAAGAAGGUUUUCGGAUUGUAAAGCACUUUCGGCGGGGACGAUGAUGACGGUACCCGCAGAAGAAGCCCCGGCUAACUUCGUGCCAGCAGCCGCGGUAAUACGAAGGGGGCUAGCGUUGCUCGGAAUGACUGGGCGUAAAGGGCGCGUAGGCGGAAGUGACAGUCAGACGUGAAAUUCCUGGGCUCAACCUGGGGACUGCGUUUGAGACGUUGCAUCUAGAGUGAGGAAGAGGGUUGUGGAAUUCCCAGUGUAGAGGUGAAAUUCGU